RNAcentral lists this ribosomal RNA (376 nucleotides) under uncultured bacterium. Its description in RNAcentral is "bacterial SSU rRNA". It matches the Rfam family "Bacterial small subunit ribosomal RNA", at positions 521 to 894 of the family's 1533-position model. The record is from RNAcentral.
UAAUACGUAGGGCGCAAGCGUUGUCCGGAAUUAUUGGGCGUAAAGAGCUCGUAGGCGGCUUAUCACGUCGGGUGUGAAAGCCCGGGGCUUAACCCCGGGUCUGCAUUCGAUACGGGCUAGCUAGAGUGUGGUAGGGGAGAUCGGAAUUCCUGGUGUAGCGGUGAAAUGCGCAGAUAUCAGGAGGAACACCGGUGGCGAAGGCGGAUCUCUGGGCCAUUACUGACGCUGAGGAGCGAAAGCGUGGGGAGCGAACAGGAUUAGAUACCCUGGUAGUCCACGCCGUAAACGGUGGGAACUAGGUGUUGGCGACAUUCCACGUCGUCGGUGCCGCAGCUAACGCAUUAAGUUCCCCGCCUGGGGAGUACGGCCGCAAGGC